This 200-nucleotide long non-coding RNA is filed under the name Panax ginseng (ginseng). Its description in RNAcentral is "long non-coding RNA (PGIN_LNC014135)". The record is from RNAcentral. Lineage: Eukaryota; Viridiplantae; Streptophyta; Magnoliopsida; Apiales; Araliaceae.
UUUUUACAUAAACGAAUAGCUUUAUGGCUUGAGAUGAUAGUGAUUGAUUUUAAUGGUUUGGUUGCUUAAAUUUGCAUAAUAGGUUGGUUAGGAAUAUGAAAGCUAACAACCUUACGAAAACAAUCAAUUUUUGCAUGAUGAGUAGUUAACCAAUCAAUCCCUAGAAUCACAUCAAAUGCAAGUAUUUUCAAUGAAAUAAG